Molecule: ribosomal RNA, 425 nt
Filed under: uncultured bacterium
Lineage: Bacteria
Description: partial 16S ribosomal RNA
Rfam family: Bacterial small subunit ribosomal RNA
Source: RNAcentral
GUGGGGAAUCUUGCGCAAUGGGCGAAAGCCUGACGCAGCCAUGCCGCGUGAAUGAUGAAGGUCUUAGGAUUGUAAAAUUCUUUCACCGGGGACGAUAAUGACGGUACCCGGAGAAGAAGCCCCGGCUAACUUCGUGCCAGCAGCCGCGGUAAUACGAAGGGGGCUAGCGUUGCUCGGAAUUACUGGGCGUAAAGGGCGCGUAGGCGGACAGUUUAGUCAGAGGUGAAAGCCCAGGGCUCAACAUUGGAAUUGCCUUUGAUACUGGCUGUCUUGAGUACGGGAGAGGUGAGUGGAACUCCGAGUGUAGAGGGGAAAUUCGUAGAUAUUCGGAAGAACACCAGUGGCGAAGGCGACUCACUGGCCCGUUACUGACGCUGAGGCGCGAAAGCGUGGGGAGCAAACAGGAUUAGAAACCCCAGUAGUCC